UACGGAGGGUGCGAGCGUUGUCCGGAAUCACUGGGCGUAAAGGGCGCGUAGGCGGCCUGAUAAGUAGGGGGUGAAAUCCUGCGGCUUAACCGCAGGGCUGCCUUCUAAACUGUCAGGCUCGAGCACAGUAGAGGCAGGUGGAAUUCCCGGUGUAGCGGUGGAAUGCGUAGAGAUCGGGAAGAACAUCAGUGGCGAAGGCGGCGACCUGGGUAGAUACUGACGCUGAGGCGCGAAAGCGUGGGGAGCAAACAGG
Molecule: ribosomal RNA, 253 nt
Filed under: uncultured bacterium
Lineage: Bacteria
Description: partial 16S ribosomal RNA
Rfam family: Bacterial small subunit ribosomal RNA
Source: RNAcentral